GCAUAUACCACAACUUGAAGAUAAUGCACCUCAUCUCAUCCGAAGCAGAAGCUAAGCAGGUUUGGGCCGGGUUAGUAUUUGGAUGGGAGACCACCUGGGAAGACGAGUGCUGUAGGCU
Molecule: ribosomal RNA, 118 nt
Filed under: Cebus imitator (Panamanian white-faced capuchin)
Lineage: Eukaryota; Metazoa; Chordata; Mammalia; Primates; Cebidae
Source: RNAcentral